GAUGAACGCUGGCGGCGUGCCUAAUACAUGCAAGUCGAGCGAACAGACGAGGAGCUUGCUCCUCUGACGUUAGCGGCGGACGGGUGAGUAACACGUGGAUAACCUACCUAUAAGACUGGGAUAACUUCGGGAAACCGGAGCUAAUACCGGAUAAUAUAUUGAACCGCAUGGUUCAAUAGUGAAAGACGGUUUUGCUGUCACUUAUAGAUGGAUCCGCGCCGCAUUAGCUAGUUGGUAAGGUAACGGCUUACCAAGGCAACGAUGCGUAGCCGACCUGUGAGCGUGAUCGGCCACUGUGGAACUGAGACACCGCCCAGACUCCUACGUGAGGCAGCAGUACGUAAGCUUCCGCAAUGGGCGAAAGCCUGACGGAGCGACGCCGCGUGGGUGAUGAAGGUCCUCGGAUCGUAAAACGCUGUUAUUAGUGAAGAACAAAUGUGUAAGUAACUAUGCGCGUCUUGACGGUACCUAAUCAGAAAGCCACGGCUAACUACGU
Molecule: ribosomal RNA, 496 nt
Filed under: uncultured bacterium
Lineage: Bacteria
Description: partial 16S ribosomal RNA
Rfam family: Bacterial small subunit ribosomal RNA
Source: RNAcentral